Molecule: long non-coding RNA, 517 nt
Organism: Anopheles coustani
Lineage: Eukaryota; Metazoa; Arthropoda; Insecta; Diptera; Culicidae
Exons: 3
Source: RefSeq, a predicted model, not a curated record
UAAACAGCGAGUGGAUCAGCAGUAUGAAAGCCAACAACACGUUUACCCAGGGCCAAGCAAGAUUGUGAUGAGGCAGUUUAUCGAUUAUGGUUUCAACAACUAAUGCCGGAAGGUUUCUGCAUUGCUCGUAUUGACCGUGGUGGAUCGUUUGCUGCUUGUAGAGGCUAUGAUUUCGGAAACGAGACAGGACAUACAAGCCAAAAUAAUGCUGGAAAGCCAGGGUAGGCCAAUAUUUCCAGUGACUGUAUCGACGAGGGAUGAACUUUAUGCAAUGAUGAUGCAGACGCUCUGUUCGCCGCAAGAUGCAGCUAACCCUAUGAUACAGGACGAGCAGCAAGCUAGGAAGCAGGUUUACUCCAUGGUAGCUCGAUAAAUGCAGUGUUUGCGAUUUUGUUGAAUUCGAGUUCAUCGGGGAAGAUUAUCCUGUUUGCAAGCAAGACGGUUUUUGGAACACGCGAAGAAACUAUUCCAGAAAAACUGCUGAGAUUGUUAAAAUAAAUCCUCUGUUUGAAUUCGA